Molecule: ribosomal RNA, 428 nt
Filed under: uncultured bacterium
Lineage: Bacteria
Description: bacterial SSU rRNA
Rfam family: Bacterial small subunit ribosomal RNA
Source: RNAcentral
GACGAACGCUGGCGGCGUGCUUAACACAUGCAAGUCACGGGGGCCCGCAAGGGCAACCGGCGAACGGGUGCGUAACACGUGAGCAACCUGCCUUUGUGUGGGGGAUAGCCGGGCUAACGCCCGGGUAAUACCGCAUACGGUCAUCCGGGGGAGUCCCUGGGUGAAGAAACCUCCGGGGCACAGAGAGGGGCUCGCGGCCUAUCAGCUAGUUGGCGGGUAAUGGCCCACCAAGGCGACGACGGGUAGCUGGUCUGAGAGGAUGGCCAGCCACAUUGGGACUGAGAGACGGCCCGGACUCCUACGGGAGGCAGCAGUGGGGAAUCUUGCGCAAUGGCCGAAAGGGCUGACGCAGCGACGCCGCGUGUGGGAGGACGCCUUUUCGGGGGUGUAAACCACUGUUGCCCGGGACGAACACGCCUUUUCGAGGG